UGAGUCAUAGCUCAGUGGUAGAGUGCUUGCCUAAUAUGUGAGGCACUGGGUUCUAUUCUCAGUACCUCAU
RNAcentral lists this transfer RNA (70 nucleotides) under Urocitellus parryii (Arctic ground squirrel). RNAcentral describes it as "Spermophilus parryii (Arctic ground squirrel) tRNA". It matches the Rfam family "tRNA". Rfam says of the family: Transfer RNA (tRNA) molecules are approximately 80 nucleotides in length. Lineage: Eukaryota; Metazoa; Chordata; Mammalia; Rodentia; Sciuridae. RNAcentral also lists the same sequence under 1 other name. The record is from Rfam by way of RNAcentral.